GCUAUAGUAGUUUAAAUAAAACAUUGGUCUUGUAAACCAAAAUAGAGACAAAUAUUCUCCUAAAGCU
This 67-nucleotide transfer RNA is filed under the name Euphaea yayeyamana. RNAcentral's name for it is "tRNA-Thr". It matches the Rfam family "tRNA". Rfam says of the family: Transfer RNA (tRNA) molecules are approximately 80 nucleotides in length. Their secondary structure includes four short double-helical elements and three loops (D, anti-codon, and T loops). The record is from RNAcentral. Lineage: Eukaryota; Metazoa; Arthropoda; Insecta; Odonata; Euphaeidae.